This 1707-nucleotide long non-coding RNA is filed under the name Gossypium raimondii (Peruvian cotton). RNAcentral's name for it is "long non-coding RNA (GRAI_LNC002082)". The record is from RNAcentral. Lineage: Eukaryota; Viridiplantae; Streptophyta; Magnoliopsida; Malvales; Malvaceae.
UUCUCUCUAGUUUCACGUCACUUUAGUUUUUCCUAUUCUGUUCACAAAAUCUUUUUUUUUUAUUCCUUUUCUUUCUUUUCACGUAGGUUUGGAAAAGGGGGUAACAAAUCGUUCUUUUGGUUUCUUGAUUUUUAAUGUCAAAGCCUCUUUAUUUUACUAUUCAAAGAUCGGUAGUGGUGCUAAUCGAGUAGGUUUCAACGAGACUCGUGUGUAAGUUUUGACUUUCUCUUUUCUCAUUGCGGAUUUAUCCGUAGUUAGUUUGCAAUUGUGUUGAGGGUAGUUGGUGGGAUGUAUCAAUAUUAAUUGAUUAUUUUGUUUGUAGGUGACGAACAUGAGAAUCGAAAAUCCCCUCUUUUGAUUUAAUUGUUUUAGGGGCUGCUGUGAACGUGGGUAAGUAUUCGAACAUUUAUAUGUUUAAUUUUAGUCGGAAUUGCUCAUGUUUGUGUUUUAUUCAAGUGAGUGGCUUGCUAAAAAUUGAGGCAUUAAGGAUUGAUUUUGGGUGAUUUAUUGUCUAUUUUAGGUACUAUUUUCUUCAUGAAUAUGGUGGUAUCGAAAUCGAAUCAGGUGUGUAUCGAAAAAUAUGAAAAAUAGUGAUCGGCGAAAGUCGAAAAAGUUCACUGUCGACGCCACACGACCGUGUGCCAGACUGUAUGACAGACCAUUUGCAAGACCAUGUGUGACAUACGGGCUAGGCUAUUUGGGCCGUGUAGGCCCAAAAUUCUAAAAUAUUCCCUAGGGCCGUGUUUUAUACUCAUAUGGUGUGUUGAGAUGGUCGAAGAUGGUAUGUAGCGGUUGGGGGUAGGAUUAUAUGUUGUAUCUGUUAUGUUUAUUAUAAAUAUGUUUCUAAUAAAUCUGUCUAAUAUGCAUCUAACUGCUUUAAGUUAUUCGAUAUACAUUGAGUUUAAAAAACUCAUUCUCUGUUUGUCUGUCACUUUCAGGUAAUUCACAGACUUAGGUCGGGCGGUGUGACGGGAGCUUGGUUAUAUUAGUAUUUCAUUUUUUUCAACUAUUUAAAGUUGGAUUUUAGCUUUUUGUAAAAUUUGGAUUGUUUUGGACAUUUUGGGAUUGUCUUAGUUUUGGAUUUUAUUUUCGAUUUUCGUAUGAUACUCGUAAAAUGAUUACGAAAAUGAUUGUUUUCCUGCAAACAAUCGGUUUCGAGAAAACAAACUUUGUUUUCCAAAAUAUAAUGACCUAAGAAUUUUCGUUGUAAAGUUUUCGUUUUAUUUUGAAGAUGUAAAUAAACAACAUUUUCAAUUAAAUAGUUAUAUCAAAUACUUUUUUUUAAUAAAACAGGUUUUUAGGUAACAAAAGUUUACUAUGUUUUUCAAAAUAUACGGGAACCGGAUUUACUACUGUUUUACGUAGCAUCUCCAGAUUUAGUCAUAACGUUCAUACCGGGUUUGGGGUGUUACAAUUUUUCAUUUUCUUUAUUUUACGAAAAUUUACUAUAUAAAUUUUAUGGUGGGCUUACAAUAAUUCUCUCUAUAACAGUAUAUUGUUAUAGGUGUAUAAUAAUCGCCUUUCUAUAGCAGGCAAAAUCUUGGCAAACAAAUGAGAUUGUUAUAGAGAGAGUUGAUUGUGCUAUAAUUUCUAAUAUAAUUUGGUCAUUAUAUUUUUAUAAUGAUACUAGUUAGGCCAAAUAGUUAAUAUAGUUAAUUUUUCGAUUAAAAUGUUACCUAUUUGUAUAUAAUUUAUGCCCUAUGGGUC